RNAcentral lists this ribosomal RNA (387 nucleotides) under Amanita rubrovolvata. Its description in RNAcentral is "eukaryotic LSU rRNA". The stretch from base 1 to 105 matches the Rfam family "5.8S ribosomal RNA", at positions 50 to 154 of the family's 154-position model. Lineage: Eukaryota; Fungi; Basidiomycota; Agaricomycetes; Agaricales; Amanitaceae. The record is from RNAcentral.
GAAAUGCGAUAAGUAAUGUGAAUUGCAGAAUUCAGUGAAUCAUCGAAUCUUUGAACGCAUCUUGCACUCCUUGGUAUUCCGAGGAGUAUGCCUGUUUGAGUGUCAUUAAAUUCUGUCAAAACAUGUACUUGAGUGUGUGUGUUUUGGAUUGUGGGAGUGUUUUGCUGGCUUUUAUAAAUAUAUGAGCCAGCUCUCCUGAAAGACAGUUAGCUUUGGGGGGGAUGUGUCAAAUCACUUCUGCCUUUCUAUUGGUGUGAUAGAUGAAUACACUUAUCUACGCCAGGAAAGCAGGUUGCAAGUGUGAAGCACUUUGAUCUCUCUGCUCUCUAAUUGACAUUUGUCUGAUAACUUGACCUCAAAUCAGGUAGGAUUACCCGCUGAACUUAA